UACGUAGGGUGCAAGCGUUGUCCGGAAUUAUUGGGCGUAAAAGAGCUUGUAGGCGGUUUUGUCGCGUCUGCCGUGAAAGUCCGGGGCUCAACUCCGGAUCUGCGGUGGGUACGGGCAGACUAGAGUGAUGUAGGGGAGACUGGAAUUCCUGGUGUAGCGGUGAAAAUGCGCAGAUAUCAGGAGAACACCGAUGGCGAAGGCAGGUCUCUGGGCAUUAACUGACGCUGAGGAGCGAAAGCAUGGGGAGCGAACAGG
Molecule: ribosomal RNA, 255 nt
Filed under: uncultured bacterium
Lineage: Bacteria
Description: partial 16S ribosomal RNA
Rfam family: Bacterial small subunit ribosomal RNA
Source: RNAcentral